CAGUAGCCGCGGGAACACGAGAGGUGCAAGCGUUAUUCGGAUUGAUUGGGUGUAAAGGGUGUGCAGACGGCUUAUUAAGUCACUUGUUAAAUUCUUCGGCCUAACUGAAGGUCUGCAAAUGAUACUGAUGAGCUAGAGGGUGGAAGAGAGAAGUGGAAUUCUCGAAGUAGCGGUAAAAUGCGUAGAUCUCGAGAGGAACACCGAUGGCGAAGGCAGCUUCUUGGUCCAUUCCUGACGUUCAUACACGAAAGCGUGGGGAGCAAACAGGAUUAGAUACCCGGGUAGUCCCUGUCUCUUAUAC
This 301-nucleotide ribosomal RNA is filed under the name uncultured bacterium. RNAcentral describes it as "partial 16S ribosomal RNA". It matches the Rfam family "Bacterial small subunit ribosomal RNA", at positions 509 to 807 of the family's 1533-position model. The record is from RNAcentral.